GAACUCGAAUCCGAACAGGACAGGUUUACCCAAGCUAAACGGGUAUGGAUUCGGUUAUGGGUAUAGAAAAUAAAAAUCCGACGGAUAUGAAUACGAGUAUGGAUUUUGUAUUUACCCGACCCGAACGCGAACCUGAACGUGAAUAAAUUAUAUAUAUACAUAAUUUAUUUUUAUUUAUUUAUAUAAUAUAUAAAAUAUUUAAAUAAUUUUUUAUCCCUUACAUCUUCAUCCAACGGUAUGGAUUUUUAAAAUCCGUUGGGUUCAGAUCCAGAUCCGGGUUCGGGUUUCGGGCUUUUGGUCGGGUACGGAUAUGGGUAUGAAUUUUUAAAACCCGCUGAGUUCGAAUUUUAAUUUGGUUUUCAUGUUCGGAUUCGAGUUUUUGAAAACCUGACCCAUUGACAUCCCUAGUUUUAAUUGUAUCACUGUAGUAUCCU
This 434-nucleotide long non-coding RNA is filed under the name Ananas comosus (pineapple). Its description in RNAcentral is "long non-coding RNA (ACOM_LNC035497)". Lineage: Eukaryota; Viridiplantae; Streptophyta; Magnoliopsida; Poales; Bromeliaceae. The record is from RNAcentral.